This is a small RNA of 70 nucleotides. It matches the Rfam family "RAGATH-18 RNA". From Rfam's summary of the family: Actinobacteria, Firmicutes, Fusobacteria, Thermotogae (1 example). Nearby to self-cleaving ribozyme genes The record is from Rfam.
UCCUUGGAGAGUUACACCAAACUAAAGUAGAGUGAGAAAUCAUUCAAAAUAGAACUCGAUGAAUAGGAAA